UACGUAGGGGGCAAGCGUUGUUCGGAGUUACUGGGCGUAAAGGGUGUGUAGGCGGUUAUUUAAGUUUGGCGUGAAAUCUCCCGGCUCAACCGGGAGGGUGCGCCGAAUACUGAAUGACUUGGAGUGCGGGAGAGGAAAGUGGAAUUCCUGGUGUAGCGGUGAAAUGCGUAGAUAUCAGGAGGAACACCGGUGGUGUAGACGGCUUUCUGGACCGUAACUGACGCUGAGACACGAAAGCGUGGGUAGCAAACAGG
This 254-nucleotide ribosomal RNA is filed under the name uncultured bacterium. RNAcentral's name for it is "partial 16S ribosomal RNA". It matches the Rfam family "Bacterial small subunit ribosomal RNA", at positions 524 to 776 of the family's 1533-position model. The record is from RNAcentral.